UACGAAGGGUGCAAGCGUUAAUCGGAAUUACUGGGCGUAAAGCGCGCGUAGGUGGUUCAGUAAGUUGGAAGUGAAAUCCCCGGGCUCAACCUGGGAACUGCUUUCAAAACUGCUGAGCUAGAGUACGGUAGAGGGUGGUGGAAUUUCCUGUGUAGCGGUGAAAUGCGUAGAUAUAGGUAGGAACACCAGUGGCGAAGGCGACCACCUGGACUGAUACUGACACUGAGGUGCGAAAGCGUGGGGAGCAAACAGG
RNAcentral lists this ribosomal RNA (253 nucleotides) under uncultured bacterium. Its description in RNAcentral is "partial 16S ribosomal RNA". It matches the Rfam family "Bacterial small subunit ribosomal RNA", at positions 524 to 776 of the family's 1533-position model. The record is from RNAcentral.